CUGAUCAAGCGGCGAUAUGCGGCAGCAAGCGACGACGUAAGCAAAGGCAGGCGGGCGAUUGCCGGUGGCAGCAGCACCGGCGACAGCGACAGCGACAGCAUAAGCCCCACAAAGCGCCAAGCGUUAACUUUUUCGUCUGCGUCUGCUAGCGAUUCAGUCUUUCUUCAAUUGCGAGCGCGUGAAAACGUCCGAAUAGGAGUUAAGUUAUUUUUUGUUAGUGAAUAGCGGAACAUAUUUUUGUGUAAUUUAUGAUUUUCGAACGCGAACUACAUAUUCGUUUAGUGAAUAUACACAUGAGUGCAUAUAUGCAUGUAAAAUAUUUAAUAUAUUGACAAACGUUUUUAUAUAAGGUUCAACUGCGCUGAAAUAAUUGAUUUGGGCCACGUGUGUGUGUUGUGGAAGUGUGAACUGAUAAAUAAACAAAUAUAUUUACAUACUUAUGUACAUACAUAUAUAGCAACCAAUGUGUUCCGAGAGAUAAUAAAAAAGUGUGUAUUUCUUUAUUUGAAUGCCAGUUAUAGGUAUCGAAGAAUAAAUAACUCCAAUCGUUCACAGAUAACAAGUAGACAAAACUGAAAUGUUUCUAGUUAAAAAUUAAAAAUAUUUGAAAAAGUGAUUUGUGAGAUUUUGGAAAAUUAAACGAAUAUAAAUCGAUAGGAACGUACUUACAUACAUACUAAAACACUGAGCGUAAUUCAUUGAGAGGAGUACAACCUAAAAAUGUAUCUUUGACUUGUUUUAAGUGUUAAAUAUUCGUCAGCCCCUUACACACAUUUUUAUU
Molecule: long non-coding RNA, 781 nt
Organism: Rhagoletis pomonella (apple maggot)
Lineage: Eukaryota; Metazoa; Arthropoda; Insecta; Diptera; Tephritidae
Exons: 3
Source: RefSeq, a predicted model, not a curated record